CCGGCCGCCACCGGCGCUUGCAAAGUUCGGAUCCGCCAGGACCGGGCCAGCGGGACGUCCGCGUGGCAGGGUGCACUUUCUCCGCGGUCGAGUGCUACGACCGGUUUCGCGGCGGUCAGAAGCCCGGCGGAAAGGUAGCGCCGCCCCUCGGGGUGUCGUGUUAUAGGCCGCCGCGGUGGACUCGCCGCGAGACCGAGGACGCUUGCCGCGCCGAGCGGUCCCGGGCCGUCUUGGGAGGUUCGACCUCGGCUGCACUGCUCCGCAGAGCACCGUAACCGCCGCCCUAGCACGGGUCCGGAGACUGCCGGCGCCUCGGGUCAGUAGCG
Molecule: ribosomal RNA, 326 nt
Filed under: Corbicula sp. CFG15a
Lineage: Eukaryota; Metazoa; Mollusca; Bivalvia; Venerida; Cyrenidae
Description: partial 28S ribosomal RNA
Source: RNAcentral